CUGGACUGAGGCUGGCGAACAGGAAGCAGAAAGGGCUCUACCCGUGCUGUGGGCAAGAGCAUCUCAUGCAGAAGAAAACUCAAGCCCCACAGGGCGUGGAUUUAGGAGCUGGAGGAACAGAUGGACAAGAUUUCUGAUUCAAGCUCCAGAUCAAUUUUUGCACUGACAGGUUUUCUAGUUGUUCUCUGAAGAAGGGCUGUAUGGCUAUAAGCUAUUUCAUCACAACCAGAAGCAGAAGACCAAGACAGUGAAACAUAGUAUUCUGGAUAUAUACUGAAGGUUUUUCUGUGAAUCCUUUUAAAAAUAGCCCGGACUGAGGCAGCUGGAGAGCUUUCAAACAAGCUAUUGAGGACCUGAUAGAUGCUGAAUAAGGACCUGAUAGAUGCUACAUGCUGAAUAAGAAAUGAAGCACAUGAACAAAUGUGAGCCUUUUUGGAGAUGAAGAGGAAGAAAAUCUGAAAUAAGAGAACACAUUAA
RNAcentral lists this long non-coding RNA (477 nucleotides) under Equus asinus (donkey). Its description in RNAcentral is "lncRNA (ENSEASG00005026175.1, ENSEASG00020015360.1)". The record is from RNAcentral. Lineage: Eukaryota; Metazoa; Chordata; Mammalia; Perissodactyla; Equidae.